RNAcentral lists this unclassified non-coding RNA (357 nucleotides) under uncultured Orbiliales. Its description in RNAcentral is "sequence contains ITS1". The stretch from base 1 to 105 matches the Rfam family "5.8S ribosomal RNA", at positions 50 to 154 of the family's 154-position model. Lineage: Eukaryota; Fungi; Ascomycota; Orbiliomycetes; Orbiliales. The record is from RNAcentral.
GAAACGCGAUAGUUAAUGUGAAUUGCAGAAUUCAGUGAAUCAUCGAGUCUUUGAACGCACAUUGCGCCUUUUGGUAUUCCGAGAGGCACGCCUGUCUGAGCGUCAGUAUAACCUUCGGUAAUUCUUCAUUGCCGGUGUUGGCGUCGGGCAACCGGGGCGUAAUACCCCCGGUGUGCCCCGCUUAAACUACUGACAGCGGGUACAAUUUGUCAUUGAUGCUAGCGAUAGUAGAAAUAUAAUCGAAAAGCUUUGUACAAAUCCGCUAUAUAAAAUCCGAGGGGCGGGGACGGCCGCAAGGUCCCCCCUAAACCUCUAAAUUUUGACCUCAGAUCAGACGAGGAUACCCGCUGAACUUAA